GAUCAUUAACGAAGCAUUAGNAAGGUUGUAGCUGCCUUGAAAGAGGAUGUGCACGCCUUUUAAAUCUUCUAUUUACCACCUGUGAACUCUUGCGGAGAUCGUGAUAACUCUCACAUGAAAAUUGUGGAUUAGUAGGCUUGCUAAGUGCUUGCUUACGAUUUCGCGGUCUCUUGCUUUUACACACACUUUAAAAGUUUUGAAUGUUGAUUUACGGAUUGUAAUGAUCUGUAAUAAUUUAAAUACAACUUUCAGCAACGGAUCUCUUGGCUCUCCCAUCGAUGAAGAACGCAGCGAAAUGCGAUAAGUAAUGUGAGUUGCAGAAUUCAGUGAAUCAUCGAAUCUUUGAACGCACCUUGCGCCCUUUGGUAUUCCGAAGGGCAUGCCUGUUUGAGUGUCAUUAAAUUCUCAACCUUACCAGCUUUGUCUGUUGUGAGGCUUGGAUGUGAGGGUUUGCCGGCUUCCUUCAGUGGAUGGUCAGCUCCCUUUAAAUGCAUUAGUGGGAUCCUUUGUGGACGGUCACUUGGUGUGAUAAUUAUCUACGCCGCUUGACUGCGAAGCAAGCCUUAUGGGAACCUGCUCAUAACCGUCUUCGGACAAUACUUUUGACAAUUUGACCUCAAAUCAGGUAGGACUACCCGCUGAACUUAAGCAUAUCAAUAAGCGGGGGAAAAGAAACUAACAAGGAUUCCCCUAGUAACUGCGAGUGAAGCGGGAAAAGCUCAAAUUUAAAAUCUGGCGGCUCCGUCGUCCGAGUUGUAAUUUAGAGAAGUGUUACCCGUGCUGGACCGUGCACAAGUCUCCUGGAAUGGAGCGUCAUAGAGGGUGAGAAUCCCGUCUUUGGCACGGACUCCCAGUGCAUUGUGGUGCGCUCUCGAAGAGUCGAGUUGUUUGGGAAUGCAGCUCAAAAUGGGUGGUAAAUUCCAUCUAAAGCUAAAUAUUGGGGAGAGACCGAUAGCGAACAAGUACCGUGAGGGAAAGAUGAAAAGAACUUUGGAAAGAGAGUUAAACAGUACGUGAAAUUGCUGAAAGGGAAACGCUUGAAGUCAGUCGCGUCGUUCGGGAUUCAGCCUUGCUUUUGCUUGGUGUACUUCCUGUUCGACGGGUCAGCAUCAGUUUUGGCCGGUGGAUAAGGGCUCAGAGAAUGUGGCACCUUCGGGUGUGUUAUAGCUUUGGGUCGCAUACAUCGGCUGGGACUGAGGAAUCUCAGCCGCCGCAAGGCCCGGGUUUCGACCACGU
Molecule: ribosomal RNA, 1236 nt
Filed under: uncultured fungus
Lineage: Eukaryota; Fungi
Description: eukaryotic LSU rRNA
Rfam family: Eukaryotic large subunit ribosomal RNA (bases 612-1236)
Source: RNAcentral